This is a long non-coding RNA of Megalopta genalis, 2785 nucleotides long. RefSeq lists it as uncharacterized. Lineage: Eukaryota; Metazoa; Arthropoda; Insecta; Hymenoptera; Halictidae. The record is from RefSeq and is a predicted model, not a curated record.
GCAUCAAGGUUGCCAGGGAUUUCUUCCAAUGUCAUGUGAUUCCGUUCGUGACGUCACGGAUGAACAGUUGAACAGAGUAUACGAUGAUAACCCUGUUACCCUCCAUCCCUACUCCGCUCAACUGCUCAUCCGUGACGUCACGGAUGAAGACAAGUGACAUUUGAGGGAAUACCCUGACAAUCCUGCAUAGUAUCCUGGAUAGCAAGCACACAGAGAAGUGUUUUAAACUUUGUAUCUUAUAAUGUUCGCAAGCAAUAAGACUGAAAUCAACGAUAAAAAAUAUUGGUUUCUCGAAAUUUUAACAGUGCUAUAUCCCUUUAAAAAAUGGCGUCAUUACAUUCCUUUCGCUAGUGAUAGGCGCGCGUAAGUGGUUUUAGUAUUAAGUUACUCACCCGAGUAAACAGAGAACGAUGCAACAAAUGUGGGCAGUCGGCUGGUGAUCCGAUAUCGUGGUGGUUUUGAUGCUGGAGUAGCAGUUGGGACAAGACAGUUUUGUGGGGUUCGGGCCCAGCGCGUACGUCACCACCGGCUGAGGAAUAAAUCUAACUUCCGUCGAUGAUGGAACAUUUGGAUUCGGAUUGAACUGUGUCUGCGAUUGACUCGGUGGCUCGCUAGCAGCGGGAUAAUUUGUCGGAUAUGACGGUGCCGGUUGAUUUGUCGGUUGGUUAUCUGAAAUCGUUUACCAUCGGUUAGCUUUAUGAACCAACCACAUACUAGCGGAAGCGAGGUAUUGCAGGGCUGGUUUCAAUCUGACUGCGUAAACGUGAGGGUUACCAACCCAUAUGGCCCUAUUUAACCACCAAAUUUUUCCAAAUCCUACCAUGUUAUGAAACAGAGUACGGCAGCAGUGAGCUGAUUAAUAAGGACGUAUGUGUUUGAACGUCUCGCUUUCUCGACUUGCGCGACGCUACGAAGAAAAAACUGUAUUUAAAAAAAAACAGCACCUAUGGUAACUGUUACCAGAACAAUUUCAAGUGUUCAACUAUGGCAGAGUUAUCCUACUGCUUCUUAUUAUUCUGUUUCUGCUAUGGUAAAAUCGCAAACGAUCUCGUCAUUAUGAAGAUCGUGCCGCAAAACGUAGAUGGCACUGAAUUGGAGCACGCUGUAAUCAAAUAGUUAAUACGAGUUCUACGUACAAAAUGGUGCUGGCAUAGCUGAUGGUGGUGAUACUGGGUAUGGAGGAUUGGCCAUAUUUCCAACAGCUUCUUCAUAAGAAGGGGGUGCCAUUGGCGGAGCUACUGUUGGUGGCGGUGCUGAUGGUUCAGCACUCCCACUUGCAAACCCUACAUUCUUCUCCAUCUUGUCCUAAAAACAUUUUCAUACAUCCAGACUUCGUUAAAUAUUUCUUGAGCACUUUUUUAAUGAAAAAAUUUUAAUAAUUUCUAUUAAUUCUCUGGUUCUUAAACUAGUUCUCUUCGCUUAUUCGCGAUCAUUGGAACGUGUACAACAAUAUCCUUCGAAAAAGGAAUAAAAGAAAAUGUCAUAAAAGAUUUUGGCAUCGGUCGGUUGCGUAACUGGCUCCUAGAAGUUUUAUCUCGGGACAACUUCGUGCCGCAGCUCUACUGCCAGAUAGCAAGUGCCAAUAAACGAGAUUAUUUUCUACAAACAAGACAACGCAGUUACCCUAUAUUGCGAGUUACCAAGGGUGGACGUAAUUGUUGUUUAUUGAGGAUCAGACCGCUUGUCCCGUUGCACCCUGUAGUUGGUUCGAUCAUUAUCGCGCAUUAUUUCAGUCUGGCCUUGAUUCGCAACGUAAUUGGGUCGUAUAGAAGACCGCGAAAGAACACGUUCGCGUUCGAACGCCGUACUGUGCGCCGCUAUGAGGACAGACGAGCGCGAAAGUGCUCGCGAACGAAUAGAAAGUUGAGAGGAUGUGUUGAGUAACCGAGGUAACGCAAUAUAUAAUACACGUAUACAUAUGUAUGAAUCGCGUGAGCCUUCGUGGACUUGCAUCCAGGAAGUCUCCGCCUUUGAACUAAUCUCGUCCACCUUUUUCCUCGAACAGAUCUUUAUUCAUCUAGCAAUGUUGUGAUUGCGAACUGCAUUACAUUUGCAAAGUAAACAUUGAUCUACGUACUGUAAAAAUUCUACUAAACAUUUCUAAACAUCAAAGAGCUACUGUAUCAGAAUAUGCCUAAAUUAUAUUACUGAUUUAUUGAUUUGCAUAUAUCUUAGAAUUUUGACUUUGAAACUGCUAUAAUAUUACGAUUGCUAAUAAUGUUAAUCUCUCUGCAAAAUUACUAAAAAAAAAAUGGAAAACGAAUUUGUACUGUAUUAUGUAGUUACACAUUUUUUGAAAUGUAAUAAAUUAUAUCGUUGUCAAUAAUGGAAAAUUCUGAAUGGAUACGAAUUAAACUUCCAAUUUGUGAUAAGAACUCAUGAUAGCAUAAUACACUCUUCCUAAAGGAUUAACAGAUAAUUAAAAAGAUAACCUAAAUGUAAAGUUCUUAAUAUUUCAAAUUUCCAAUCGUUGGAACAUUUGAAUUUUUAUUUUACGAGAGAAAACCAUCAACUGCGAAGCAAUUGAGCUCCCGAAUUUGAAGUUGUACUUCAGCUACGCUAUAGUCAACUGAAAACGUAUACAUACAGUGGGACUCGUAACCGGGAAAAAUAACCGGACUUAUAAGGACCAAGAGAGCCCGGAUAAAUCGAGACCUAACAAAAAACAGCUGAAAAUGUAAUAUAAUGUAAUGUAAUGUAACUUACAUCAAACGACGACUGAAAAUUGUGAUACACCGUUUGCUCGUACUUAUCGUUGAAAUAUAUCAUGUAUUUACAAAUAGAA